RNAcentral lists this transfer-messenger RNA (386 nucleotides) under Patescibacteria group. RNAcentral's name for it is "JAHITL01 sp018817545 Standard tmRNA". It matches the Rfam family "transfer-messenger RNA". Rfam says of the family: Bacterial tmRNA, also known as 10Sa RNA or SsrA, is named for its dual tRNA and mRNA-like properties. Its role is to liberate the mRNA from a stalled ribosome. The record is from RNAcentral. RNAcentral also lists the same sequence under 1 other name.
GGGGAUGCUAGGCAUCGAUAAUAAAAUGCUUAAGAAAUAUUCAGGGCGUGCGUUUCAGCUGGCACGUUAAUCACGCUGAAAAAACAUAAGUGUAAAAGACUUAUCUAGCAAAGUUGCGUUUGCUUUUCGCAUUCCAACUUUAGCUACUGUUACAGCCUAAUAGCUGCAACCAUUUGCCUGGUGAUUUCUAAUAGCCACAAGCAAGUGUUAUUUUUUUAGGAUAGGCUAUUUAAUAAUUCUAGGUAAUUAGCCGAAAUAAAUAGAAUUAGCUGCUAACACUUUUGUUUUGCUUCGAUGUUAUCAGUGAAAAAUUAAGCAAUACUAAUCCUGUAAAUAUGUUUUUUAAGAUUUAUUAGACGUGGGUUCAACUCCCACCAUCUCCACAG